This 224-nucleotide long non-coding RNA is filed under the name Elaeis guineensis (African oil palm). Its description in RNAcentral is "long non-coding RNA (EGUI_LNC043874)". The record is from RNAcentral. Lineage: Eukaryota; Viridiplantae; Streptophyta; Magnoliopsida; Arecales; Arecaceae.
GUCAAAAUUGGCUGGAAUUGAAUUCAAAUUAUAUAAAACUUAAUGGAAAUUGAAUAAGAAGAUAAGAAAAACCAAAUGAGCACAAAAGAAUAUAACUUUAAAAGAAAAAGAGCCCAUUUUCAGCAUUCACCACAUUCAAGAAUGUUCAACCAUCUUCCAUUCAAUUCCUCUUGAUUCUUCUGAGAGCAUUCAAGGAGAAAAGAGUGAGCAUCAAGUGCAAGCAU